GAAAAGAUAAGCUAAUUAAACUAUUGGGUUCAUACCCCAACCAUAGAGGUUCCAACCCUCUUCUUUUCA
This 69-nucleotide transfer RNA is filed under the name Helictopleurus quadripunctatus. RNAcentral's name for it is "tRNA-Met". It matches the Rfam family "tRNA". Rfam says of the family: Transfer RNA (tRNA) molecules are approximately 80 nucleotides in length. Their secondary structure includes four short double-helical elements and three loops (D, anti-codon, and T loops). Lineage: Eukaryota; Metazoa; Arthropoda; Insecta; Coleoptera; Scarabaeidae. The record is from RNAcentral.